RNAcentral lists this small nuclear RNA (324 nucleotides) under Nannospalax galili (Upper Galilee mountains blind mole rat). Its description in RNAcentral is "7SK RNA (ENSNGAG00000003274.1)". It matches the Rfam family "7SK RNA". Rfam says of the family: 7SK was discovered as an abundant small nuclear RNA in the mid-70s but a possible function has only recently been suggested. Two independent studies have found that 7SK RNA binds the CDK9/cyclin T complex (known as elongation factor P-TEFb). The record is from RNAcentral. Lineage: Eukaryota; Metazoa; Chordata; Mammalia; Rodentia; Spalacidae.
UGUUGUGAGGCUACAACAUCUGUCACUCCAUUGAUCUCUAGGGUUGAUUUGGGUGAUCUGGCUGGCUAGGUGGGUGCCCCCUUUCUCCCUCAGUGCUCCCCAUAGGUCUCUCCCAAAGCUGCUCACUCAAAGAGGGUGACCUUCCUCAAUAGAGGAGGACCAGUCUUCAGUCAAGUGUAUAAGAGUAGCUGCACUCCCCUGCUAGAACCGCCACACAAGCUCUCAAGAUCUUAUUUUGUAUCAAGCUCUAGGAGGGGCUUUUGUUCCAGUGAGGCUAGUCAACAUGCAAAUCAACAUACAAUGGGCAAAGGGAUGCAAACACAU